GCCCCCUUAGCAUUUGUGGCACUGGCGCGUUCAGAUCCUGCGAGGUCAAUGAGGGACAUUUUGGCAAUUCGAACAUUUUGACUAAUGCUGGCUAUUUUGUCUUGUUGUCUUAAGUAAAUCUGGAAGACUGCAUGGGAACGAGAAGAGGAGGCAUUCACGUCUGUGGGAUGUUGUGUUCUAUUUUUAUUUCCAUAAUCCAACAUUUGAAGGAUUUCCUCUGCUGAUUUUGGCUGAUGUAAUGUUAACCCUUGAACCACCACCCCUUUCUGGGCAUCUUCCCGAACAGCUAGUGGUCCUGAGUUUACCAGAAGAUCACGGAUCUGUUCAUUGUACACCUCUAAAUAAGACACAGCAACAUUGCAUAUUUUUUCUUCUUUUAUUUGAUCCAUGCAAUUAUAAAGUGCCAUCAUGGUUAAAU
This 418-nucleotide long non-coding RNA is filed under the name Gallus gallus (chicken). Lineage: Eukaryota; Metazoa; Chordata; Aves; Galliformes; Phasianidae. The record is from RNAcentral.